AAAUCAGGUGGGACUACCCGCUGAACUUAAGCAUAUCAAUAAGCGGAGGAAAAGAAAAUAACUAUGAUUCCCUUAGUAACGGCGAGUGAACAGGGAAAAGCCCAAAUUUGUAAUCUC
Molecule: ribosomal RNA, 117 nt
Filed under: uncultured Melampsora
Lineage: Eukaryota; Fungi; Basidiomycota; Pucciniomycetes; Pucciniales; Melampsoraceae
Description: partial 28S ribosomal RNA
Rfam family: Eukaryotic large subunit ribosomal RNA
Source: RNAcentral